Colius striatus (speckled mousebird) is the source of this 2991-nucleotide long non-coding RNA. RefSeq lists it as uncharacterized. The record is from RefSeq and is a predicted model, not a curated record. The transcript has 4 exons. Lineage: Eukaryota; Metazoa; Chordata; Aves; Coliiformes; Coliidae.
UUUCCCGUAGCGCGGGUAGAUCCUUGUGGGUGGUGUCAGCGAUGGCGGCGGCGCCGAGCCGAGCUAAAGCCGAGCCGAGCUGAGCUUGCACGACUGGCCAUCCCCCGGCCGGCUGCGGGGAGGGAGCCCGGGUACCUUAACGCCCGACCGAUCUCUGCUAGUGGCGGCCGACCGGGUCGGGGUGCUUGCUGAAGAGGUAGGCCGGGCCGCAGCGGCCGGCGAUGGAGGGAUGGGCCAGAAUGCCGGUCUGUGGAGGGAACGGCUGUGCCGCUUGAGCAUACGACGGACCUGUCCUUCCCCCGUCAUCUUCGUGAGACAAAGCACUGGGUGAAUCGGCGGCCCUUCGUCCUCUGGAGCUUCGGGCUUCUUACGGCUGCUGGGGCCAGCUCUCCAGAAGCUCACGUUUCGGGAGAGCGAGUUUUCCGGUUUCUCGAUAAUGGCAGUGAAAGUUUGCCCAUGGCCUAAGCAAGCAGCAAUGUGACCACAGGAUGUCCCAAGGAGCAUGAGUCCAUGUGUGUUUUGCUGAAAGUUCGGAAGCUUACAGAUAACCUGAUGUGGUGAAAGCCUCUGAACAUGGGAGGGGCAUGUAGGAAAAAGUUACAAACUACUGAUUACCCAACUGUCCUGCAACUUCUCUCAUGAGACUCCCAGGUCCUGCCAGGAACUUGCUCCAGGAUGAGCUUCCCAUGGAGUCACAGCCUUCUCAGCUCCCCAGUGGCCUCCAUGGACAGCAGGGGCACAGCUGCCUCACCAUGGGCUGCACCACAGGUCACAAAGGAGUCUCUUUCAGGGCCUAGGUACCUUCUCUCCCUCUUCCACUGACCUUGGUGUCUGCAGAUGUUUUCGCAUUCUCACUCCCUGUUGCUGCUGCCAUUUAGCAACUGUGCAGCAACUUCUUCCCCUUCUCAAAUACAUUAUUCACAGUGGCAUGGCCUCAGUCACUAAUUGGCCAGGCCUCGGUCAGCUGUGGGUCCAUCUUAGACUUAGCCCUGUCAGCUACAGGGGAAGCCUCUGGCAGAUGUUGGGCUUUAAAGAAGACACCCCUGUAGUCCUCCCCACUACCAAAAACCUGGCUCAGGCAAAACCACUCCAGGUUGUCAAGAGGGAAAGAGGUGUAGAAGAGUAAUUAAUUUCAGUGAUCCAACAUGUAAUUAUCGGAUGCACUUGAAAGGUUAGGCUUUCUGUUACAGUUUAUAUUCCCUGAAGAUUCCAUCUGUUUAGGAGGUUUGCUCAGGAAUAUGUUCCUGAAGUUUAAGACUGGCAGAAGCUUUUAAGACUGUUUUUUUCAAAAACAAAAACUUGGGAGCAACAGCUAAUGCCAAGUUUUAAUGAUAGUUGUCUAAAAUGCUGGUUCCCUUUCAACAAGAAAAACGAGAAUUUUAAGCUUCAGCAUGUAAUACCUAUUAUCAUAGUAUGAAGGAACAAAGAAAAAGUGAGGUAGAGGGAAGAGUGAGCAUGUGUAAGGAACACUGAUUUCUAAAAUAGUAAUGUUGGUAAACACUGGUGUUGACCAUUAGGACUGUGUUUUAGUUUCUUAGGAGUGGUUAAUUGGACUUUAUCUGUGGGAUAAAAACUUUUAGACUCCGUAAGUCUUUUUUUUUUUUUCCCCCCCUCUGUUUUACAUGAACACAGAGUUGUCUGGCAGACUGUUGAAUGAGGACAGAUUCCCAGUUGGUCUAGGGGAGCAAGACGGAACAAGUAUCUGUGCACUAGGUUGGUGUUGCACCAACUUAUCUUUCUGUUACCUCCAGUGAGUGCCCUGUGGAAAAGGGCUCUCAGUAUUAAAGGCUGCAGAUCAGAGCUCUUGAGGUGUGCACAGAAAAAACAGCUUGUUCCAAAUUCCUCUUAACUGUUAAGCACACUGCAUCUGAGUUGCCUAAGGAUAGUUCCACUAAAGCAGAACAGUCCAUGUCAGUGGGUGACCUGUAGGGACAUUCUUGAAUGUAAGUUGUUGCCCUUUUUGCUCAGUGAAGGGGCUCAUUUGUAGUAAAUUUAACAGCAGUAUAUUAUGAAGAAUGUCAAGUACAUUCUGAUAUCCUCACGGAGAGGAAAAGAAAAAGCAUUGUCCUAUUAAUUUUUGAGACCUUAACAUUACAGACAGUAAAGCAUAUUGUUUAAACUGUGAACAACUGUGAGGUCAGUGGUUUUCUUCACUCUGGUACUGGGUCUGGCUGAGAUGGAGGUAAUUUUCCUCAAGCAGCCCUCAUGGUGCUGUGUUUUGUAUUGGUAGCUAGGAAGGUAUUAGUGACACACCAGUGUUUUGGCUACUGCAUCAAGGCUAUGUCUCUAACAUUCUUCCCUCACUCAGUGGGAUGGGGAUGGACAAGAUCUUAUGAGGGGAUAGCUGAUCCAAACUGACUUAUCCCCACCAUGUGAUGCCUGCUCAGCAAUAAAAGCCAAGAGGAAGUGGGUUGGGAGUGUCUUCUGAAGCAAUGGUGUACUGAAGCCCUGCCCCCUGGGAAGUGGCUGGACAUCACCUGAUGAUGGGACGUAAAGAAUAAAUUCUUUGCUUUCCUUUGCUCCUACAUGCAGCCUUUCACAGAAUCUUAGAGUGACAGGGGUUGGAAGGGACCUUUAGAGAUCAUCUAGUCCAACGCCCCAGCAGAAGCAGGUCCACCUAGGUCAGGUCACAGAGGAAUGUGUCCAGAUGGGUCUUGAAGACCUCCAGAUGAGACUCCACACCUUCCCUGGGCAGCCUGUGACAGGGCUCCCUCACCCUCACAGUAAAGUAGUUUUUUCUUAUGUUUAAAUGGAACUUUUUGUGUUCCAGCUUCUUUCUAUCACCCCUGUGAUUCACUUUAUUAAACUACCUUUAUCUUGGCCCUUGAGGGUUUGAGGUUUUUUUUCCAUCUUGUUUCCUCUCCCUGAGCUGUCCUGCUGAGGAGGAGAGCGGUAGUGUCUUGGUGUCCAUCCAAGGUUAACCCACUGCAUCUCUUACAGAGGAGACAAAUACAGGAGAGAACAUUAAAGAGAGAACGUAUGCCACACUGA